CGCGCCCGCCCGAGUGGAGCUGAGCGGAGCCGAGCGGCGCGAGACGCGUGGCGGUGGCGCAGCCGAGUCAAGCUGGGGCCGCCGCUAUUUAGGGCGGGCAUGGUAGGCGCCGCCACAGCCAGAGCGGGCGCGGGACGGCGGGGACGGCAGGGAAAGCUUUGAGACACGGAAAACCGUGUUUCGGAGAUCCGUCAUGUUGGAUUGGUCCUAGUGUUAUCCCACGCCAUCCUGAUUUGUACUACGAGUGACCCAGCAGUCUGGCUUCUUCCUCACUCCUGCUUCAGGCAAAGCUGUAUGAUACUGUGUGUUACAAAGCUGUACAUGGAAAAAUUGUAUUUCUUCUGGAGUUCUGGACUGGAAAAGAAAGCAGGCAAAGAAAAAAUGGCUAAAGCUUAAAAGUGAAACUUGAUGCAUUUGGAUGGCCCUGAGAAACUAAUGGACCACUGCUCAGAGAUGAAGUCUCAUGGGAAUGGCAGCAUACCUUGAAACCAAGUUGAAUAAAGCAUCGACAGAUGAUCUGCAGAGCAGAGCACAGUGCAGUGCUGAACUGAGCGCAAUUAGUUUGGCUGGAACCUGUUUUCUCCUGUGUGGGAUGUCUGGUCGGCCCAGCAUUCAGAUCCCCUUAAUCAGCCAUAUUCUUCCUCUUUUGAGGGAAUCACCACAAGUCAUUACAAUCAUUCACCAUGUGUGCAUGAUCAGGAACAUCUCAGUACUUGGAACAUUCUUUGAGCUUCAGCGCCAAUGCAUUGAAUUCUGGUAACCAACAUGUGACUUCAGCAUUUGAAGACUGAAUGUGUGUUGAAAAGAAAAUCAGAAUGGUCUGGAGGAAUAAAUGAAAACAGACCCUUGCACUGUUUAGAAACAGGUCCCAAUUUACAAACCUAGCAGAAAUUAUGUUUACAGGAGGAAUCCAGACAGCGUUGUAUUAUAUCUUGAGUGCUCUACCAGUAGAGUCCUUUAUAAAUAUCAAAAGCCUGACAUUCAGAUAUUAAGAGUGGAAGAGAAAAUAUUCUUGAGGAUAGCUUUGUCCCCAACGCUAGGGCAUCAGUUACAUGCCAGACAUUUUUGUUUCAGCCUCCACUUUUCAAUAUUGAUUCAUGCAGCUUUGUAGAAGAAAAGUUCAGAGAGAAGGUGCAAAGUUCAUAAUGAAUGACUUUGCCUUCAUAUACAUAGAAAUUUCAAGAUGAAAAUGAAAAACGCUUGAAUUUCAACUUACAGUACUUCUUGUAGUAAACAGCAGAAUCAUGUUUGGAUGAUUAUGUUAACAUUUUGCUUUAACAAUAGCAUCACAUAAGAUGAGAUGGAAAAUCUGCCUUAAGAGAGUACCUUGUCUACUGUGCAAUCUGAUAUUUUCAACAAGUUAAUAUUUCUUCAGUGUUGGACGCGAGUAUGAAAAGUUCUAUUUCAGCAAAAAGGUGAGCAUUUUUCUUCAUUGUCCCAGAAAGAUUACAUUGGA
This 1456-nucleotide long non-coding RNA is filed under the name Anas platyrhynchos (mallard). RNAcentral's name for it is "lncRNA (ENSAPLG00020014577.1)". The record is from RNAcentral. Lineage: Eukaryota; Metazoa; Chordata; Aves; Anseriformes; Anatidae.